CNGGUUACCUUGUUACGACUUCACCCCAGUCAUGAAACACAAAGUGGUAAUCGUCCUCCCGAAGGUUAGACUAACUACUUCUUUUGCAUCCCACUCCCAUGGUGUGACGGGCGGUGUGUACAAGGCCCGGGAACGUAUUCACCGCAGUAUUCUGACCUGCGAAUUACUAGCGAUUCCAACUUCAUGGAGUCAAAGUUGCAGACUCCAAUCCGGACUACAACUUCCUUAAGGGGGUCCGCUCCACAUCACUGUCUCGCUUCCCUCUGUAAAUGCCAUUGUAGCACGUGUGUAGCCCUACACGUAAGGGCCAUGAUGACUUGACGUCUUCCCCACCUUCCUCCGGUGUGUCACCGGCAGUCUCCUUAAAAUUGCCCAACUUGAAUUCUGGCAACU
RNAcentral lists this ribosomal RNA (393 nucleotides) under uncultured gamma proteobacterium DCM-ATT-15. Its description in RNAcentral is "partial 16S ribosomal RNA". Lineage: Bacteria; Pseudomonadati; Pseudomonadota; Gammaproteobacteria. The record is from RNAcentral.